Molecule: transfer RNA, 66 nt
Filed under: Astalotermes sp. B TB-2017
Lineage: Eukaryota; Metazoa; Arthropoda; Insecta; Blattodea; Termitidae
Description: tRNA-Ile
Source: RNAcentral
AAUGAUGAGCCUGAUUAAAGGGCUAUCGUGAUAGGAUAAAACAUGUAGCUAACCCUACCUUCAUUA